Molecule: long non-coding RNA, 859 nt
Filed under: Ixodes scapularis (black-legged tick)
Lineage: Eukaryota; Metazoa; Arthropoda; Arachnida; Ixodida; Ixodidae
Description: uncharacterized LOC121836851, transcript variant X1
Source: RNAcentral
GUUUUUGGCGUUGCCUUGUAAGCCGUUCCCUCCAUUCGUUCCUUGCGGGAAGCGACGUCCAAAGCAAUCGAAGCCUCGUGGUUUUUGGCGUGGCCUGUUUGGCUGUAUCGCGCCGUUCCCUCCGUUCGUUCCUGGCGGAGCGACGUCCAAAGACCUACAGAAGGGCUCUUUAUGUCCCUCUGUCCGGUGGUGGUCGCAAGCGAGGCCUGCACCGUUAUUGCCAUCACCAUAGUCUGAAGACCUACAGCAGGGCUCUGCCUGGCUCUGCGUCCCUCUGUCCAGUGGUGGUCGCAAGCGAGGCCUGCACCGUAAUUGCCAUCACCAUAGUCUGAAGACCUACAGCAGGGCUCUGCCUGGCUCUGCGUCCCUCUGUCCAGUGGUGGUCGCAAGCGAGGCCUGCACCGUAAUUGCCAUCACCAUACUCUGAAGACCUACAGCAGGGCUCUGCCUGGCUCUGCGUCCCUCUGUCCAGUGGUGGUCGCAAGCGAGGCCUGCACCGUAAUUGCCAUCACCAUAGUCUGAAGAUGGACUCUGUAAGGGCAACUAUAACACAACUGGUACCCGAGAUACCCGAUGGCCAACUUGACGCACUGGUGACCCACCUUGUGGAGGAGGGAUACAGUACAGCAAAAGACCUUCUAUACUUGGAAGAACAGGACUUAAAGCCUUUCCUCAAGACCUUGCAUAUCAGGAAGCUUUUACAUCUCAUAAAAUCUGGGUCCCAACUGCAAACUGAAAACUGUGCACUUCCCUCAACGUCAGCAGCUUCAACACCGACAAACCCAGCGGCAGCCACGGCUCACCGCGCAUCACAAGAGAGGGCUUCGAAGGACCGCUGGGCGAGUUCUUUUGAAGUGGA